GAAGGGGUAGACCAAAAGUCCCUCGCCCGGAUUAUGAGUCAACAGAUCUAGAAAAGCCCUGUUGACAUCCUGCGCAUACAGAAACAUUACCAUGGGGCUUGCUGCCAACUACACCUUAUAAAAGGCCAUUUCACACGGCGUUCUCCGCUCUUCCACAAGGGAUUAAAAGAUAGGUGCUAUUCCGCACGCGUGAUACCAGUCACAUGGUCAAGAAGCCGAGACCACGGAACGGACAUAAAUAGAAGGAGUCUAAAUAAGUUGUGGGAAGCGCACCCAGUGGCCUGUGGAGGCAGCGAGGAGAAGAUCCUUCUCUAAAUCCUUCUCUAAGGGGCCUAGAACAUCGGGGAACCACACGUGUACCCAUUGUGAUUCAGACAUUUCGGGGAAGAUUAGAUGAUAUUUUUCCCCUUGGGAGUAAGGACCUGCAAUAUCGGAAGGAGAGAGGACAGACAUGAGAGAAUGACAAAGAAGACUCCAGCAUCCUUUCAGGUUCCCUGACCCUCCCUCCCUCUGCCUGGCCCUCUUUGACCUC
This is a long non-coding RNA of Chionomys nivalis (European snow vole), 532 nucleotides long. RefSeq lists it as uncharacterized. NCBI's taxonomy places the organism in Eukaryota, Metazoa, Chordata, Mammalia, Rodentia, Cricetidae. The record is from RefSeq and is a predicted model, not a curated record. The transcript is spliced from 3 exons.